CCCCAGGUCAGGCGGGACUACCCGCUGAGUUUAA
Molecule: ribosomal RNA, 34 nt
Filed under: Myriophyllum sibiricum
Lineage: Eukaryota; Viridiplantae; Streptophyta; Magnoliopsida; Saxifragales; Haloragaceae
Also listed under: 12 other names
Description: partial 26S ribosomal RNA
Source: RNAcentral